UGUCGCGGCAGCUGUACGCGGGAUACCUUCGGGUAUGCCGGAUUUGCUUCUUUAGCCGGUCGGUCAACCCGCGUAUAGCUGCCACCCUA
This 89-nucleotide non-coding RNA is filed under the name Pseudomonas salomonii. Lineage: Bacteria; Pseudomonadati; Pseudomonadota; Gammaproteobacteria; Pseudomonadales; Pseudomonadaceae. The record is from RNAcentral.